CCUACGGGUGGCAGCAGUGGGGAAUAUUGCACAAUGGGGGCAACCCUGAUGCAGCGACGCAGCGUGAGUGAAGAAGUAAUUCGUUACGUAAAGCUCUAUCAGCAGGGGAGAAACACUGACCUUACGGUCAGCAGACGGUGCCUUAGUAAGAAGCCGCGGCUAACUACGUGCGAGCGGCCGCGGUAAUACGUAGGGGACAAGCGUUAUCCGGAUUUACUGGGUGUAAAGGGAGCGUAGACGGUGCGCCAAGUCUGGAGUGAAAUACCGCAGCUUAACUGCGGAAGUGCUUUGGAAACUGGCGAACUAGAGUGCGGUUGGGGUAAGCGGAAUUCGUAGUGUAGCGGUGAAAUGCGUAGAUAUCAGGAGGAACACCGGUGGCGAAGGCGGCUUACUGGACCGUAACUGACGUUGAGGCUCGAAAGCGUGGGGAGCAAACAGGAUUAGAUACCCUGGUAGUC
RNAcentral lists this ribosomal RNA (458 nucleotides) under uncultured bacterium. Its description in RNAcentral is "partial 16S ribosomal RNA". It matches the Rfam family "Bacterial small subunit ribosomal RNA", at positions 338 to 795 of the family's 1533-position model. The record is from RNAcentral.